Molecule: ribosomal RNA, 1319 nt
Filed under: Papilio machaon (common yellow swallowtail)
Lineage: Eukaryota; Metazoa; Arthropoda; Insecta; Lepidoptera; Papilionidae
Description: large subunit ribosomal RNA
Rfam family: Archaeal large subunit ribosomal RNA (bases 1070-1228)
Source: RNAcentral
GGGGAAAAAUUAAUAAAAAAAAAAUAAUAAAAAAAUUUUUAAGGUAUAUUUUAAUGGGGGUUAGAGUAUAUAUAUAGGAAAAAUUUUAAAAUUUAUAGUGAAAUAGUAUUGUAAGAGAAUUUUGAAAUAAGUAUAAAAAUUAUAAAAAAGUAAAUUUAAUUUAUUGUAUCUUGUGUAUCAGAGUUUAUUAAUAAAAUUUUCUAAAUAUAAAUUUCUCGAAUUUAAAAGAGUUAAUUAAUUAUAAAAGUUAAUGUAGAAUAAUUAUUUUUAAUAAUUAAUUAGAAAUGAAAUGUUAAUCGUUUUUAAAAAUAUCUAGUUUUUUUAGAAAAAAAUUUAAUUUUAAAUAUUAUAUUUUAAAAUUUUAUUAAUAAAAAUUUUAAUAAUUAAUAUUAAAUAUUUUAAGGGAUAAGCUUUAAAAUAAAUUUUUAUAAUUAAUAAUAAUAAAAAAAAUUAAAAUUUUAAAAUUUAAAUUGUUAAAUAAAUUAUAAUUUUUUACAAAUAAUUUAAUUUUAAUUAAAAUUUAAUAUAAAAUUUAAAUUUUUAUAAAAAAAUAUAUUUUAAUAAGAUAAAAUUAAAUAUAAUGAUAAAAUUAGUAUAUAAAAAUUAUAAAAAUAAUGAUUUAUUAAAAAUUAAUUAAAGGAAUUCGGCAAAAUUAUAUAUUCACUUGUUUAUCAAAAACAUGUCUUUUUGGAAAUAAUUUAAAGUUUAAUCUGCCCCCUGAUAAAUAUUUUAAAGGGCUGCAGUAUUUUGGCUGUACAAAGGUAGCAUCAUCCUUUGUCUUUUAAUUGGGGACCUGUAUGAAAGAUUGGAUGAAAUAUAAACUGUCUGUAAUUAAUUUUUAAAAUCUAAUUUUUUAGUAAAAAAGCUUAAAUAAUUUUAAAAGACGGGAAGACCCUAAAGAGUUUUAUAAUUUAUUUGGUUCUUUUUAAUAUGUAAAUUUUAAAAUUAAAAUUAAAUAAAUUAUUUUGUUGGGGUGACAGAAAAAUUAAAUUAACUUUUUUAAAUAAUUAACAUUAAUUUAUGAAUAAAUGAUCCAUUAAUAUUGAUUAAAAGAAAAAAUUACCUUAGGGAUAACAGCGUAAUUUUUUUUUUUAGUUCAAAUAGGAAAAAAAGUUUGCGACCUCGAUGUUGGAUUAAAAUAAAAUUUAAAUGCAAAAGUUUAAAAUUUUGAUCUGUUCGAUCAUUAAAAUCUUACAUGAUCUGAGUUCAAACCGGUGUGAGCCAGGUUGGUUUCUAUCUUUAAAUAAAAAUAAUAUUUUAGUACGAAAGGAUCAAAUAUUAAAAAUAAUUUUAUAAAAAUGAAUAUUAUUAAUAAUAUU